UCCCAAGUCCGAGCCUUGGGUCGGGUGAAGAGAGUACUACAGGUAGGAUGGAUCGAAGAUUCAGAGAUUUGAUUCUUUUCAAUUGAGACGUGCAUGCGACUUUCGAUGGAUGUGAGGGGCAACCACGAUCGAUUUUAUGAGCGACAUUUCAGAAAGCAGCACCGUACCAGAGACUGCAGAUUUAUAUACAGCAUCUAGUCG
Molecule: long non-coding RNA, 201 nt
Filed under: Elaeis guineensis (African oil palm)
Lineage: Eukaryota; Viridiplantae; Streptophyta; Magnoliopsida; Arecales; Arecaceae
Description: long non-coding RNA (EGUI_LNC060626)
Source: RNAcentral